Non-coding RNA from Triticum urartu, 124 nucleotides. NCBI's taxonomy places the organism in Eukaryota, Viridiplantae, Streptophyta, Magnoliopsida, Poales, Poaceae. The record is from Rfam.
AUUAUACUCCCUCCGACCGAAAAUACUUGUCUUAGAAAUGAUUGUAUCUAGACUUAUUUUAGUUAUAGAUACAUCCAUUUUAUCCAUUUCUAGGACAAGUAUUUCCGAACGGAGGGAGUAUAUU